GACGUGUCCUCUUCCGAUCUGAAUUUGUGGCUAGUUGAGAGCGCGGCGUAGAAUUUGCACCUCAAGUAUUGCUUAUGGUAUAGUUGAUUAGAUUAGAAUCUAAACUGUUUUAUAGUUAGUUGUAAUUGGAUUAAUGAACCUUGUAUUCGGAUUUGUAGAUAGAACCUUUGUAGCUUGUACGUUUGGGUUUAGUUGGUAGUCCAAACAUGGCAUAACACCCCAUUGAGUUUAAAGUUUUGAUU
Molecule: long non-coding RNA, 242 nt
Organism: Ipomoea nil (Japanese morning glory)
Lineage: Eukaryota; Viridiplantae; Streptophyta; Magnoliopsida; Solanales; Convolvulaceae
Exons: 3
Source: RefSeq, a predicted model, not a curated record